Marmota flaviventris (yellow-bellied marmot) is the source of this 2745-nucleotide long non-coding RNA. RefSeq lists it as uncharacterized. NCBI's taxonomy places the organism in Eukaryota, Metazoa, Chordata, Mammalia, Rodentia, Sciuridae. The record is from RefSeq and is a predicted model, not a curated record.
GCUAGGCAUGGGCCACCAUGCCCAGCUGUAAAAUUUAACUUUUAAUAUGUUUUUAUCUGGAGGAAAGGGUCCACAGAGGCAGAAGUGGCCAGGGUUUGUGACGAAGGUCAUGCUGCGACUCUGGGCUGAACCACCUGGAUCCAGGCUGCAGGUGCACAUAUGGGGCCCAGGGUCAGCCUCCUUUCUGGGAGAGAAGACAGAGGAACUGGGCAAGGCUGGAGCUCCCAGGAAGGAAUCAGAUAAACUCACUGGCUGGGGAUGGAGACCUGGGGAGGUUUGGCAAUUAGGAGCAGAGGGCUGUGAUUUGGGAUUAAAGGUUGUUAACAGAGGAGUAAGGCCCAGUAAACAGGCUGCAGCACUGCCUCCGGCCCUGCCCAUUCACUUCCUGCUAAUAGCUCCCCUGUGCCUCUCCACACCUCGGCCUGCUCUCUCGCCCCUUUCUAGGGAAGACUGAGGGCCAGUGAGCCAGAGAGGUGAGCCCUUCUGCCUAGGAGCACCCAGCAGCCAACUUUAGGGAUCCUAUAGACCUCUUUGAACAAAGUGGGGGAUCACCUUAUUCCUGGAAGGACUGAUUGCUCAUCCAGUCAGUAAACUACAUUGAGGACCUACUAUGUGCUGGGGAUACACUGGAGAGCGAAACCAGGCCUGGUUCCCUAUUGGCUGGAGUCAUUGAAGAUUCUGGAGGAACAACAUGGACCAAUCUUUGUUGCAAAGAGAGUACGAUGGAUUGGCUUGUCCUUUGAGGCUCACCCUUGGUUCCAGGGAAGGGGAAAUAUGUCACCCAACUGCCCAGUUGCUGUGCCAUAAGGGAAGGGAGACUCCCCAAGCAAAACUCUGGAUUCUGUUAGGAGGGCAAAUAGAUGCUGCAGAAGCCAUUGGAGCAUGUCCCUCUACCCUGUGUGCCAGAACCCAGGGCAUUUCUGGAACCACCUUCAGCAUAUCCAGAAGUGCCUUUUAAAUCAGAGGUAGGAUGAGGAGAAAGGCCUGGUCUUUUGAGGUGGGGGACAAAAAACAAAUCUAAACUAAUUUGAUAAAAUUGUGAAGCUGAAACUACCCCCAGAGAAACAUCCAGAAGACCUUCAACUAGAUUCGGGCGACUCUGGAGAUAUUCUCUCUAAGCCCCAGAAUCUUCAUCCAGAGAUAUGAAUUUUGCUGUUCCAAGUUGUUGGAGGACAUGCAAUUGGCAUCCAGGAAGUCACCAUACCAAGAAUGCCCCAGGGUGUCCCCUACCAGCCAGAACACAAACAAAACCAUUGAAGGAAUUGGGCUCCCUUACACAGAGAGAAAUGACAACCAUGGGAGGUAAGAGGUAAAAACAAACAGAACCUAAGCAAGGAGCUCAGGGGCUCUCAGAAAUCUGCAACACAAAGGAGCCACCAGAAGGGGAGCGGCCUGAGCAGCAGCAAACACCUAGAGUUGCCCGGAGAUGCUCAAAAUAGGUGCGAAUUAAUGGUUCCCACAUCCUUGCUAAGAGAGAAAAGACUCCAACAGGUUCAGCUUAGCAGACAUUUAUGUUUCCAACACUGUGUUGAUGGACAGAUGGAAAGGCUCCCCGCUGAUCCCGGUGGGCACAGACAGGUUAAUGUGUGCGCGUCUGUAGCAGGGGUGUGGCGUAGAGCAUUUGGGGAGUCACAGAGGAGGGGACAAUUAAUUCUGCUUGGACAGCCUUCAAAGAGAGCUGUGGAGCAGCAAGCAGGGCUGUCACCAGAGCUGGGACCCUGAAGGGUAAGUAGGGUUCAGCUGAUGGUCAGGAGGGACAUAGAACAGGAGCUGUGGGCGCUGAGGCCCAGUCCUAUGAAUACCUUUCCUUUCUUCUGCAGGGCAUCCCCUGUUCCUUUGAUAUCAUCACCCAACUCCUCCCAUUAGGGAAAACCUCUCUCUUAGUGUCUUUGAUCAGAACUGCCCAUCAUAAUGAGGCACAUGACCCAGCCAGCCAAUCAGUCUUUCUCCUGGGACUCUUUUCCCCAGAAUUUGCGCUAGCUUAAGAAGAGCAGAGCCAUUUGGUCUUUGGUGUCCUAAAGAGAUUAUUCAUGAUUACUGAAACUUUCCAGGUCCUAACCUUCCCAAGGCCUGGUGGAUUAACUCCUCCUUCUAUUUCAUGAGUGGUCCAGCUUUCUUUCAUCAAUUUUUUUUUUUUUUUUUUGGUUUAGCCAGAAUAAAUUGCAAACAAAGAACGUUAGUCGAAAUGGCAGUUGGUGCCAGGAUGAGGAUUAUAGAGGAUAGAUCCCGAGGGAAAAAGGGAAUCUGGGAUAGGAUUGCUGGGCAGAGAUUUGGCAUACCCUCCGCCCAUCCACAGCUGAUCAACAGCUGCCUGCUCACCAAGAGCAGAGCUUGGGGCCUUAGUGGUUGCUGUCAUUCAAGAGGGAGGCCCCUGGGUGAGAUGGUUGCUUUGACAGUAUCAGGUCAAUUAAAGAGGGAAGAACUUAUCAUCUCCAGCAGUGUUCACCAUAUUAUAUCUAACAUUUGUUUAUUUCUUUUGUUCUUUCCUAACAGAAUGUAAAUUCCUUGAGGGAAGGGAGCUUUCAGGCAUGGUUGGGUCAUGGCUUGCACAGAGCGGGCCUUAUUGAUGAACCAGUGCACACAUGCGUUAACAGCAAGCUCUAGCUUAGAAUUUCUAGAAUAAAACCCACAAAGGUCAUUUCAGAAAGGAUGGAAGGAACUUGAUUUUUAUUCUCAAAAAUCUGGGGAAGAAUUGUGGAAAUAAAUGUUGAGGGUUUCUCCUCUAAGAAUAAAACUUGAGGUCAG